GUCAGUGCAUCUACUAUCUACAUGAAUGUGGUUGGUAAUCUACUGUCUACAUGAUAUUAAUAAUCUGUGCUUAAAUUCUUUCCUUUCUGUGUUUCCUAAUCUUAGGACCACAGUCAUAAUAAUGUGCUGUUUGACAAGAAUAAUUUUGUAUUCUGAUAUAAAACAAAAUUCCUAAUAACCACUUUAAUCAACUCUGGUUUGUUUUCUCUAUUGAUUCAAAGCAUGAAAAAAUAUUCUUGUUAUUAAAUAGAUCUCUUUCACUGUACCUUUGCUUCUAGUUGCAAUGUCACUCAAAAAAAAAUAUUUAAAGCAGGAGCUAUUUUGAUUUAAUAAAUAUUUACUAAGUAUUCAUUACAUGAACACGGUUUAAAGGGACAGGAAAGACCUGUCACCAAUAAUUAUCAUGCAUUGGAAUUUAGGCAAAGAUUAAUGUUGUACAUGUCAGAGAAAUAGAGUACUAAUUUGCCUGGGAGCUACAUCAGAUAGGGCAUAGGUUUUGGAGAACAUAAUCACUACAAAUGUAUCUGGAAGAUGAAUUGUUUAUCAGAUGUAAAAAAGGGGAAGAGAAUUGAAGGAAGAGGGAACAGUAUAUGAGAAGGCACAGAGGCAAGAAUAGCAUUGUAUAUUCAGGAAACAAACUAGUUCAGUAUUGUCCCGUCCUUGGAUGCAAUGUCAUAAGAGGCUACAUUUGUCAUCAGAAAGGAUUUAUACUUCCCUGUAGACAAUGGAGGAGUGAUUAAAAAAAUGGAUAUGGAUGGACCAUUGUGGUGAAGGAUU
This 777-nucleotide long non-coding RNA is filed under the name Marmota monax (woodchuck). The record is from RNAcentral. Lineage: Eukaryota; Metazoa; Chordata; Mammalia; Rodentia; Sciuridae.